Molecule: ribosomal RNA, 252 nt
Filed under: Salmonella enterica subsp. enterica serovar Typhi
Lineage: Bacteria; Pseudomonadati; Pseudomonadota; Gammaproteobacteria; Enterobacterales; Enterobacteriaceae
Also listed under: 3 other names
Description: partial 16S ribosomal RNA
Rfam family: Bacterial small subunit ribosomal RNA
Source: RNAcentral
UGCGUCGUAGUCCGGAUUGGAGUCUGCAACUCGACUCCAUGAAGUCGGAAUCGCUAGUAAUCGUGGAUCAGAAUGCCACGGUGAAUACGUUCCCGGGCCUUGUACACACCGCCCGUCACACCAUGGGAGUGGGUUGCAAAAGAAGUAGGUAGCUUAACCUUCGGGAGGGCGCUUACCACUUUGUGAUUCAUGACUGGGGUGAAGUCGUAACAAGGUAACCGUAGGGGAACCUGCGGUUGGAUCACCUCCUUA